Molecule: ribosomal RNA, 395 nt
Filed under: uncultured bacterium
Lineage: Bacteria
Description: bacterial SSU rRNA
Rfam family: Bacterial small subunit ribosomal RNA
Source: RNAcentral
AACGAACGCUGGCGGCGCGCCUAAUACAUGCAAGUCGAGCGAGAAGACGUAGCAAUACGUUUGUAAAGCGGCGAACGGGUGAGGAAUACAUGGGUAACCUACCCUCGAGUGGGAAUAACUAGCCGAAGGUUAGCUAAUACCGCGUACGCUCCUCGGACUUCGGUUCAGGGAGGAAAGCGAUACCGUGGGUAUCGCGCUCUUGGAUGGGCUCAUGUCCUAUCAGCUUGUUGGUGAGGUAACGGCUCACCAAGGCUUCGACGGGUAGCUGGUCUGAGAGGACGAUCAGCCACACUGGCACUGCGACACGGGCCAGACUCCUACGGGAGGCAGCAGUAAGGAAUAUUGCGCAAUGGGCGAAAGCCUGACGCAGCGACGCCGCGUGGGGGAUGAAGGUC